Molecule: ribosomal RNA, 472 nt
Filed under: uncultured bacterium
Lineage: Bacteria
Description: partial 16S ribosomal RNA
Rfam family: Bacterial small subunit ribosomal RNA
Source: RNAcentral
GACGAACGCUGGCGGCGUGCUUAACACAUGCAAGUCGAACGCUGAAGCUUGGUGCUUGCACUGGGUGGAUGAGUGGCGAACGGGUGAGUAAUACGUGAGUAACCUGCCCUUGACUCUGGGAUAAGCCUGGGAAACUGGGUCUAAUACUGGAUACGACAUGUCACCGCAUGGUGGUGUGUGGAAAGGGUUUUACUGGUUUUGGAUGGGCUCACGGCCUAUCAGCUUGUUGGUGGGGUAAUGGCUCACCAAGGCGACGACGGGUAGCCGGCCUGAGAGGGUGACCGGCCACACUGGGACUGAGACACGGCCCAGGCUCCUACGGGAGGCAGCAGUGGGGAAUAUUGCACAAUGGGCGGAAGCCUGAUGCAGCGACGCCGCGUGAGGGAUGACGGCCUUCGGGUUGUAAACCUCUUUCAGCACGGAAGAAGCGAAAGUGACGGUACGUGCAGAAGAAGCGCCGGCUAACUACGUG